UCGGGUCUGCCGCUGCCUCCGGAUGUCCUGGGGCCGUUUUUGCUGUGUUUUGGGGUGCCCGGCAGCGCCUGGAAAAAGCCCGUGUUUCAGGCGGUGUUUUUCGGUGUGGGAGAUGCGCCGCGGGGCGCGCAGGGCUGUAAACGAGGGGAGAAGAGGUGCUGAGCGCUCGGUUAACUAGGAGGUUAAAAGUUAAUGCCAGGCCAUCACUGAGAGGAAAGUUAGUUGGCAACCGCAAACUGGUCUGCGAGUAGAAAAGGGAAGGCAUGGCUGCUUCCUUGGGGCAGCAGAAAUAACAGUUUAUGGGGUUUAGCAUAGGAAGGCAUUGGUGGGGAGAGAAGAGCUAUUGUGAGCUGCACAGCCAGUGUCCACAGCCUCUGGUGUCCAGUGCGGUUAAGUUAUGCUGGAAGAAGAUACUUGAAAGAAACCUCUGUGUGCUUAUCCUAGCUCAUUCGUUUCCUUUGAGACUAGUCAUGUGCUGAUAAUCGAGCAAGCAGGUCUAUAUUGUACUUAUUUCAAGAAGAAAAUCUUAAGUUUAGAGUGGCAACUCAAACCUUCAUCUUCAGUUUCCUUCCUGUGAAGUGGGAAUAGAUUUCAAAGAGACCGAUGCACCUACAAAUAUGUACAGACUAAGAACUGACAGAAGGCGCUAUUUCCAGUUGCACUUCCUCAGUCUCACAGGCAGUCUCCUGGGACAUUAGACUUGGCCACAACAGUAGCGUCAGAGAGUGUUUCCUUGAUCUCCUUGCAUCUGGUCAGAGAUUGCAUAUGGACCACAGGGGAAAUCCCAUAUGAUUGUCCAGGUGAGAUG
Harpia harpyja (harpy eagle) is the source of this 808-nucleotide long non-coding RNA. RefSeq lists it as uncharacterized. The transcript has 4 exons. Lineage: Eukaryota; Metazoa; Chordata; Aves; Accipitriformes; Accipitridae. The record is from RefSeq and is a predicted model, not a curated record.